Non-coding RNA from Marmota monax (woodchuck), 539 nucleotides. Lineage: Eukaryota; Metazoa; Chordata; Mammalia; Rodentia; Sciuridae. The record is from the annotation of a RefSeq genome assembly.
CAUCCCUGGACUCCCAGCUCAGCCCACUCAGUGAUCAAGACUGAACACAGCUACUCACCAUGGAGAGUGUGCUCAGCUGUGUUUUCCUGGUGGCUGUUUUCAAAGGUGUCCAGUGUGAGGUGCAGCUGGUGGAGUCUGGGGGAGGCCUGGUGCAGCUUGGGGGUUCCCUGCGACUCUCCUGUGCAGCCUCUGGAUUCACCUUCAGUGACUACUACAUGCAUUGGGUCCACCAGGCUCCAGGGAAGGGGCUGGAGUGGAUCUCACCCAUUAGUACUAGUGGAAGUAAUACUUUGUAUGCUGACUCAUUGAAGGGCCAAUUGACCAUCUCCAGAGACAACUCCAAGAACACGCUGUACCUGCAAAUGAGCAGUCUGAGAGUCGAGGACACAGCCACCUAUUAUUGUGCUAGAGACACAGGUCGACUCAUCAUCUCCGGAGAAAAUGCCAAGAACAUGCUGUGCCGGCAAAUGAGCAGUCUGAGAUCUGAGGACAUGGCCACCUAUUUCUGUGCCACAGACAGUGUGGGGACCUUAGUGUGA